GGAGGAAAGUAGGGGAUCGCAAGACCUCACGUUAUAGGAGCGGCCGAUGUCCGAUUAGCUAGUUGGUGGGGUAAAGGCCUACCAAGGCGACGAUCGGUAGCUGGUCUGAGAGGAUGAUCAGCCACACUGGGACUGAGACACGGCCCAGACUCCUACGGGAGGCAGCAGUGGGGAAUUUUGGACAAUGGGCGAAAGCCUGAUCCAGCCAUGCCGCGUGCGGGAAGAAGGCCUUCGGGUUGUAAAGCUCUUUCGGCCGGAACGAAAUCGUCCGGGCUAAUACCUCGGAUGGAUGACGGUACUGGAAGAAGAAGCACCGGCUAACUACGUGCCAGCAGCCGCGGUAAUACGUAGGGUGCAAGCGUUAAUCGGAAUUACUGGGCGUAAAGCGUGCGCAGGCGGUUUUGUAAGUCAGAUGUGAAAUCCCCGGGCUUAACCUGGGAACUGCGUUUGAAACUACAAGGCUAG
This 465-nucleotide ribosomal RNA is filed under the name Nitrosospira sp. YKU26. RNAcentral's name for it is "bacterial SSU rRNA". It matches the Rfam family "Bacterial small subunit ribosomal RNA", at positions 198 to 644 of the family's 1533-position model. The record is from RNAcentral. Lineage: Bacteria; Pseudomonadati; Pseudomonadota; Betaproteobacteria; Nitrosomonadales; Nitrosomonadaceae.